GUAUAAUCUAACAGAGGUCUGAGUUGGUGUAUAAUCUAACAGAGGUCUGAGUUGGUGUAUAAUCUAACAGAGGUCUGAGUUGGUGUAUAAUCUAACAGAGGUCUGAGUUGGUGUAUAAUCUAACAGAGGUCUGAGUUGGUGUAUAAUCUGACAGAGGUCUGAGUUGGUGUAUAAUCCUACAGGCCUGUGGAUGGUGUGGAUAUCCUCCUGUUUUAUUUACAGCUAGUUUCUGACUGAUUCAUCCUUUUUGGAGGAAGAAAGGGAUGAUUUGCCUUCUCAAUCAUCCACAUAGCUCUGUUUCAACCUCAUGAUGUCACAACAUGUGUUUGGAAUGUGGCAUAUGCCAAGGCUUGACCAGGACUAGCUCAUAGGGGAAGCUUGGCUGUGUGUUGUACCUCGGCCAGGACUAGAUCAUAGGGGAAGCUUGGCUGUGUGUUGUACCUCGGCCAGGACUAGAUCAUAGGGGAAGCUUGGCUGUGUGUUGUACCUCGGCCAGGACUAGCUCAUAGGGGAAGCUUGGCUGUGUGUUGUACCUCGGCCAGGACUAGAUCAUAGGGGAAGCUUGGCUGUGUGUUGUACCUUGUGUCAUGCCUGCUCCCGCUCCCCCUCCUCGGCGCUCAAGGGCGCCAGGCUGCCCAUCAUUACGCAC
This 649-nucleotide long non-coding RNA is filed under the name Salmo salar (Atlantic salmon). Its description in RNAcentral is "lncRNA (ENSSSAG00000114838.1)". The record is from RNAcentral. Lineage: Eukaryota; Metazoa; Chordata; Actinopteri; Salmoniformes; Salmonidae.